GACGAACGCUGGCGGCGUGCUUAACACAUGCAAGUCGAGCGGUAAGGCCCUUUCGGGGGUACGACGAGCGGCGAACGGGUGAGUAACACGUGGGUGACCUGCCCUCAGCUCUGGGAUAAGCCUGGGAAACCGGGUCUAAUACUGGAUAUGACUCCAUGACGCAUGUUGUGGGGUGGAAAGCCUUGUGCGGCUGAGGAUAGGCCCGCGGCCUAUCAGCUUUGUUGGUGGGGGUGA
RNAcentral lists this ribosomal RNA (234 nucleotides) under uncultured bacterium. RNAcentral's name for it is "partial 16S ribosomal RNA". It matches the Rfam family "Bacterial small subunit ribosomal RNA", at positions 28 to 261 of the family's 1533-position model. The record is from RNAcentral.